Long non-coding RNA from Eleginops maclovinus (Patagonian blennie), 1038 nucleotides. RefSeq lists it as uncharacterized. The transcript is spliced from 2 exons. Lineage: Eukaryota; Metazoa; Chordata; Actinopteri; Perciformes; Eleginopidae. The record is from RefSeq and is a predicted model, not a curated record.
UCAAAUAUCGAACGCGCCACUUCCGGCUGACAGUGGCUGAGGAUCAUGGUGUAAUGUAGCUUCCCGCUAUCCAAAAUUGUCGGUUGUUUCUGAGAAUUUGUGUGGUGAGCUGUGUGUGGUUACGCGGUGGUUAGUUCACAGGUGGACAAUGCGGUCCUUUUGGGCGGUUUUCCGUAAAUUUGACGACUGACUGAAACGAACAACGCCCUGGAUUGAACAGAGUCACAGCUAUGCGCAGCGGUAAUUUUGCAGGAGUGGAAAGGCCGAAAUCCCGAGAGAAGUAAUUUAGUGCUGGAGGUUUAUUGCAAAUUCACAACAUGGCCCCUUUGAACGACGACUGGGAUACCUUCAAAGUGUGGAGCAAUACAGAACCCAUCAAGUUUGUGAUACCAUCCUGAUCCACGCCAAGGAGCUGUUCUCCUUCACCCAGCACCUCAUCAGUGCAACACUGUUGCAUGGAGAGAUGUUCCCACAAUACAGUGGGAAGUUCCCUGAAGCAGCACUUGAAACGACAGUGCAGACGUACCCCAUGUUGAACAAGGCCAAGCUCAAAACGGAACUGUCCCUCAUCUAUGAUAACAGUGAGUUCAAUGCUUGCAGUGGUGCGGUGUCUCUGUACCAGUUUUUCAUGGAGAACAACCUUCAGAGCACUUUCACAGACACUGUCAGUCUUCUCAGGAUCCUCCUCACCACACCCAUGACAACAGCUGAAUCUGAGAGGUGUUUCUCUACUUUGAAGAGGAUCAAGACCUUCCUGAGAAACACCAUGACACAGGAUUGCCUCAAUGCUCUGGCUAUGCUCUCCAUUGAGAAGAAACUUGUCAGGGACAUUCCUGAAUUUAAUAAGAAGGUCAUUGAGAGGUUUGCCUCACAGAAGCAGAGAAGAGCAAAAUUCCUCAAAUAAACUGUCAAAAAAAUCAUCCACGUUUUCUCACCAGUAUUGCAAAUGCCAUUGUUUUUAAGUUGUUGCACAUAGUCCUCAGUCUCAAAUGCUUAAAUUGUUUAUGGAGGCAUUAAAAUGUUAGACUGUUAAAUUAA